This 142-nucleotide ribosomal RNA is filed under the name uncultured eukaryote. Its description in RNAcentral is "partial 18S ribosomal RNA". It matches the Rfam family "Eukaryotic small subunit ribosomal RNA", at positions 1299 to 1458 of the family's 1831-position model. The record is from RNAcentral.
UGGUGGAGCGAUUUGUCUGGUCAAUUCCGAUAACGAACUAGACUCUAGCCUACUAAAUAGUUCGGGGACUCCACAAAGGUUCCCCACUUCAACUUAUUAGAGGGACAGGUAGUGUUUAGCCGCAAGAGAUUGAGCAACAACA